Molecule: long non-coding RNA, 1317 nt
Organism: Gasterosteus aculeatus aculeatus (three-spined stickleback)
Lineage: Eukaryota; Metazoa; Chordata; Actinopteri; Perciformes; Gasterosteidae
Source: Ensembl
CAAGCCUGGCACACCCAUUUCUGGGCAGUUUCUCCCAUUCUUUCUUGCGAAAUGUGGAAACCGUUAAGAAAUGUGUAUACUUUCCAGAUGCACUGCAAGCACGGCAGAUAUCUAAACGCUUCAGGCAACAGGGGAUGAACCCACACAUCUGCUGCACAUCAUGCGUUUGUUUAUAGCCUGUGGUGUCAGCGGCGGACACAGGGUGGCCCAGCUGGUGUUCGGGGGAGUGCGGAAUACAACUGGAGGCUGCGCCUGAUAAACCGCACGCAUACGAGGACAGGGAGGGGAACCGGACUGCGAGAAAGGAAGCCAUAAAUCAGAGCGAAGGUCAGCAGCGAAUACGAAGACAGGCCCCAUCCGCGUCGAGAGGGCGAGCAGCCAGCAGCACAGCCAAACCAGCUAAGGUCGACGACAGCUAAACACACUGGUUGGCACGACAACAGACUGGAGAUCAGUACCUCAUCUCGCCCCCGGAGGCCCGUUCAUUUGGGUCAGCGAAGCGGCGCUAAAUUAAUUAAGAAGACGGGGGCUCACGUGUCUCAAAUAAAAUAAAAUAAAAUAAACAGUCGUUUCUGGGAAAACUUGGCUCCUCCCACCCAGCGUGCCGUUGUGACGCCGGCCGCAGAAUUGCGACUGAUUUACUGGCGAUUGCCGCUGCCUGCCACAGAGUUGCCACUCACUUGCCACUGCCACAAGGAGGAUCUCGGCCCUACUGAACACCUGGCGCCAGAGACAUUCUCACAGAGGUCCGAGGAACAACAUUGAACAAAUAGCGCCAACUGUACUCAACAAACCCCAAAGAGCAACAUGUAAAAACAAACAUAUGGAUAGCGAUCAAACGGCACAGCAGGAGAGUCUUUAUGCAACAGCUAAGCUACGUGACGACCCGCCUUAGUGUGCGGCGGGGAAAAAUAGAUCCGAUUUAAGUGGAAACAAAACGAAAACACAAAAGAGACAAAGAGCACUGACGUCGGCCUGCUAACAGUAUUGGAUUGAGACAGAUCGGAGAUUAGCGGUCACCGAGUCAGCUGUGUGCCGAGGACCUUUGGUCAGUGAAUCAGCUUACAGCGUGCUCUGUGAGGGGUGGGGGUCCAAGAAAUGGGAAAAACAGGAUAAUCCUGAAGCUAAUGAAAUGUACCUGGGGAUCUCAAUACCUUGCUCCGCCAGAGAAAUCUUACAUAUGAGGAUUAACAUGAGAGUACAAUUGCAUGACAAUCAUCAUCGUGUGGAAAAUCUUUGUGCUGCAGUGAACCAACACCUCACGAGCACGUACGUAGCAGGCUAUGAAGAAAUGCUUUCGCACCAGUUGCAAAACAC